AACGCAAGUUGCGGUCCUUGGUACACCAGGGACCACACCUUCUUGAGUAUCGGUUCUAUCAACACUCGACGGCGUGCGUGCUUUUUUUGCACACACGUGCAGUCGGAAAAUGAGUCUUCUUGCCUUGCCCCUCUCACAAGGGGUGUGUCAAGUGACUUUAAAUGAUAGAUGGUCUAUCAGUGCUUAAUCCUAAGUUUUUCGGGAAUAAGACUAAACAUGGAUAACAUCCAAUAUGUUUCUGGUCGUACCUCGUUGAAUGCUUUUUGGGAUCCAAAGUCCUUGACCACAUACCCAAAUUUAGGCUCCGUGCUUAAAUCUCCAUUAUUUUGAAUAAUGAUCUCAAGUAAGGCGAGAGAACCCCCUGAACUUAA
Molecule: unclassified non-coding RNA, 371 nt
Filed under: uncultured fungus
Lineage: Eukaryota; Fungi
Description: partial contains ITS1, 5.8S rRNA and ITS2
Source: RNAcentral